RNAcentral lists this ribosomal RNA (407 nucleotides) under uncultured archaeon. Its description in RNAcentral is "bacterial SSU rRNA". It matches the Rfam family "Archaeal small subunit ribosomal RNA", at positions 512 to 924 of the family's 1478-position model. The record is from RNAcentral.
AAAGCAUCCGUAGCUGGCUAAGUUAGUCCCUUGUUAAAUCCACCGAAUUAAUCGUUGGAUUGCGGGGGAUACUGCUUGGCUAGGGGACGAGAGAGGCAGACGGUAUUUUCGGGGUAGGGGUGAAAUCCUAUAAUCCCGGGAAGACCACCAGUGGCGAAGGCUGUCUGCUAGAACGCGCCCGACGGUGAGGGAUGAAAGCUGGGGGAGCGAACCGGAUUAGAUACCCGGGUAGUCCCAGCUGUAAACGAUGCAGGCUAGGUGUUUGGACGGCCACGUGCCGUUCUAGUGCCGCAGGGAAGCUGUUAAGUCUGCCGCCUGGGGAGUACGAUCGCAAGAUUGAAACUUAAAGGAAUUGGCGGGGGAGCACGGGGCGGGGGCGGCGGGCCGGGCGCGGGGCGCGGCGGGCG